This 29-nucleotide non-coding RNA is filed under the name Mus musculus (house mouse). The record is from RNAcentral. Lineage: Eukaryota; Metazoa; Chordata; Mammalia; Rodentia; Muridae.
UGAAUGAGUGCUUGUUUGCAGUGCCCUGG